RNAcentral lists this ribosomal RNA (789 nucleotides) under fungal sp. RNAcentral's name for it is "eukaryotic LSU rRNA". The stretch from base 471 to 789 matches the Rfam family "Eukaryotic large subunit ribosomal RNA", at positions 1 to 320 of the family's 3401-position model. Lineage: Eukaryota; Fungi. The record is from RNAcentral.
UACUGAGUACUACACUCUCUACCCUUUGUGAACUAUUAUACCUGUUGCUUCGGCGGCGCCCGCAAGGGUGCCCGCCGGUCUCAUCAGAAUCUCUGUUUUCGAACCCGACGAUACUUCUGAGUGUUCUUAGCGAACUGUCAAAACUUUUAACAACGGAUCUCUUGGCUCCAGCAUCGAUGAAGAACGCAGCGAAACGCGAUAUGUAAUGUGAAUUGCAGAAUUCAGUGAAUCAUCGAAUCUUUGAACGCACAUGGCGCCUUCCAGUAUCCUGGGAGGCAUGCCUGUCCGAGCGUCGUUUCAACCCUCGAGCCCCUGUGGCCCGGCGUUGGGGAUCUGCCACGGCAGGCCCCUAAAACCAGUGGCGGACCCGAAGGGCCCUCUCCUUUGCGCAGUAGCAUUCGCCUCGCAUCGGGAGUCCUCGGCGUCCUGCCUCUAAACCCCCCACAAGCCCGCUUCGGCGGCACCAAGGUUGACCUCGGAUCAGGUAGGAAUACCCGCUGAACUUAAGCAUAUCAAUAAGCGGAGGAAAAGAAACCAACAGGGAUUGCCUCAGUAACGGCGAGUGAAGCGGCAACAGCUCAAAUUUGAAAUCUGGCUCCUUCGGGGUCCGAGUUGUAAUUUGCAGAGGAUGCGUCGGGUACGGGUCCCUACCGAGUUCCCUGGAACGGGACGCCAUAGAGGGUGAGAGCCCCGUCUGGUAGGAUACCCAGCCCAUGUGACGCUCCCUCGACGAGUCGAGUAGUUUGGGAAUGCUGCUCUAACGGGAGGUAUACUCCUUCCAAAGCUAAA